RNAcentral lists this ribosomal RNA (427 nucleotides) under uncultured bacterium. RNAcentral's name for it is "bacterial SSU rRNA". It matches the Rfam family "Bacterial small subunit ribosomal RNA", at positions 355 to 774 of the family's 1533-position model. The record is from RNAcentral.
UGGGGAAUUUUGGACAGUGGGCGAAAGCCUGAUCCAGCCAUGCCGCGUGAGUGAAGAAGGCCUUCGGGUUGUAAAGCUCUUUUAGUCGGAAAGAAAGAGUUGCAAUGAAUAAUUGUGAUUUAUGACGGUACCGACAGAAAAAGCACCGGCUAACUACGUGCCAGCAGCCGCGGUAAUACGUAGGGUGCGAGCGUUAAUCGGAAUUACUGGGCGUAAAGGGUGCGCAGGCGGUCUUGCAAGUCAGAUGUGAAAGCCCCGGGCUUAACCUGGGAAUUGCGUUUGAAACUACAAGGCUAGAGUGCAGCAGAGGGGAGUGGAAUUCCAUGUGUAGCAGUGAAAUGCGUAGAGAUGUGGAAGAACACCGAUGGCGAAGGCAGCUCCCUGGGUUGACACUGACGCUCAUGCACGAAAGCGUGGGUAGCAAACA